UACGAAGGGGGCUAGCGUUGCUCGGAAUUACUGGGCGUAAAGGGAGCGUAGGCGGCCAGUUAAGUCAGUGGUGAAAGCCCAGAGCUCAACUCUGGAAUAGCCUUUGAUACUGAUUGUCUUGAGUAUGGGAGAGGUAUGCGGAACUCCGAGUGUAGAGGUGAAAUUCGUAGAUAUUCGGAAGAACACCAGUGGCGAAGGCGGCAUACUGGCCCAUUACUGACGCUGAGGCUCGAAAGCGUGGGGAGCAAACAGG
Molecule: ribosomal RNA, 253 nt
Filed under: uncultured bacterium
Lineage: Bacteria
Description: partial 16S ribosomal RNA
Rfam family: Bacterial small subunit ribosomal RNA
Source: RNAcentral